RNAcentral lists this ribosomal RNA (433 nucleotides) under uncultured bacterium. RNAcentral describes it as "partial 16S ribosomal RNA". It matches the Rfam family "Bacterial small subunit ribosomal RNA", at positions 29 to 507 of the family's 1533-position model. The record is from RNAcentral.
AACGAACGCUGGCGGCAUGCCUAACACAUGCAAGUCGAACGAGACCUUCGGGUCUAGUGGCGCACGGGUGCGUAACGCGUGGGAACCUGCCCUUAGGUUCGGAAUAACUCCCCGAAAGGGGUGCUAAUACCGGAUAAUGUCUUCGGACCAAAGAUUUAUCGCCUUUGGAUGGGCCCGCGUUGGAUUAGCUAGUUGGUAGGGUAAAAGCCUACCAAGGCGACGAUCCAUAGCUGGUCUGGGAGGAUGAUCAGCCACACUGGGACUGAGACACGGCCCAGACUCCGACGGGAGGCAGCAGUGGGGAAUAUUGGACGAUGGGCGAAAGCCUGAUCCAGCAACGCCGCGUGAGUGAUGAAGGCCGUAGGGUUGUAAAGCUCUUUUACCCGGGAUGAUAAUGACAGUACCGGGAGAAUAAGCACCGGCUAACUCCGUG